UGCCUAGGAAUCUGCCUGGUAGUGGGGAACAACGUUUCGAAAGGAACGCUAAUACCGCAUACGUCCUACGGGAGAAAACAAGGGACCUUCGGGCCUUGCGCUAUCAGAUGAGCCUAGGUCGGAUUAGCUAGUUGGUAGGGUAAUGGCCUACCAAGGCAACGAUCUAUAGCUGGUCUGAGAGGAUGAUCAGCCACACUGGGACUGAGACACGGCCCAGACUCCUACGGGAGGCAGCAGUGGGGAAUAUUGGACAAUGGGCGCAAGCCUGAUCCAGCAAUACCGCGUGUGUGAAGAAGGGUU
This 300-nucleotide ribosomal RNA is filed under the name uncultured Pseudomonadales bacterium. RNAcentral's name for it is "bacterial SSU rRNA". It matches the Rfam family "Bacterial small subunit ribosomal RNA", at positions 114 to 417 of the family's 1533-position model. Lineage: Bacteria; Pseudomonadati; Pseudomonadota; Gammaproteobacteria; Pseudomonadales. The record is from RNAcentral.